CCAAAAACUAAAGAACCUUCAAAGUAUUCCUUUACUUCCUACUUCAAGGUAAUUCUCUAAUGCUCAUUGAUAUUUUGUAUGUUUUUGUUUCAUAAUACACUCCUGCAAGUUCUGUUCUUAAUGCCUUUAUCUGUUUCAUCUUUCUGCAGGAGAAACUGCUUCUAGAUCCCCAAAACUUCAAUUCUAGGUCUUGCCUAAGAGAAUUCAAGAAACUAAACUCGGGGAAGAACUUACAUAAGCGUGAUCUAGUACACAUCUUUUUUAUCAUUCCAUGAAACCAUCAUUUUUGCAUCUUUUUCAUCUAUACUCAUUUUUCUACUUUAAUUGCCAUCCAGCUUUACUUCUCCCGAGUUGAUUCC
This 359-nucleotide long non-coding RNA is filed under the name Triticum aestivum (bread wheat). RNAcentral describes it as "long non-coding RNA (TAES_LNC013290)". The record is from RNAcentral. Lineage: Eukaryota; Viridiplantae; Streptophyta; Magnoliopsida; Poales; Poaceae.